CCUACGGGAGGCAGCAGUGGGGAAUUUUGGACAAUGGGCGCAAGCCUGAUCCAGCCAUGCCGCGUGUGGGAAGAAGGCCUUCGGGUUGUAAACCACUUUUGUCAGGGAAGAAACGGCUUUUUCUAAUACAGAGAGCUAAUGACGGUACCUGAAGAAUAAGCACCGGCUAACUACGUGCCAGCAGCCGCGGUAAUACGUAGGGUGCAAGCGUUAAUCGGAAUUACUGGGCGUAAAGCGUGCGCAGGCGGCUUUGCAAGACAGAUGUGAAAUCCCCGGGCUCAACCUGGGAACUGCAUUUGUGACUGCAUGGCUAGAGUACGGUAGAGGGGGAUGGAAUUCCGCGUGUAGCAGUGAAAUGCGUAGAUAUGCGGAGGAACACCGAUGGCGAAGGCAAUCCCCUGGACCUGUACUGACGCUCAUGCACGAAAGCGUGGGGAGCAAACAGGAUUAGAUACCCUGGUAGUCCACGCCCUAAACGAUGUCAACUGGUUGUUGGACGGCUUGCUGUUCAGUAACGAGCUAACGCGUGAAGUUGACCGCCUGGGGAGUACGGCCGCGAGGUUGAAACUUAAGUGAAUUGACGG
This 584-nucleotide ribosomal RNA is filed under the name uncultured bacterium. RNAcentral describes it as "bacterial SSU rRNA". It matches the Rfam family "Bacterial small subunit ribosomal RNA", at positions 338 to 916 of the family's 1533-position model. The record is from RNAcentral.